UAUACAUGAGAGCAUACAUAGA
Molecule: microRNA, 22 nt
Filed under: Mus musculus (house mouse)
Lineage: Eukaryota; Metazoa; Chordata; Mammalia; Rodentia; Muridae
Description: mmu-miR-466n-3p
Gene: mmu-miR-466n-3p
Source: miRBase by way of RNAcentral